GGUUAAGCGACUAAGCGUACACGGUGGAUGCCCUGGCAGUCAGAGGCGAUGAAGGACGUGCUAAUCUGCGAAAAGCGUCGGUAAGGUGAUAUGAACCGUUAUAACCGGCGAUGUCCGAAUGGGGAAACCCAGUGCAAUUCGUUGCACUAUCGUUAACUGAAUACAUAGGUUAACGAGGCGAACCGGGGGAACUGAAACAUCUAAGUACCCCGAGGAAAAGAAAUCAACCGAGAUUCCCCCAGUAGCGGCGAGCGAACGGGGAGCAGCCCAGAGUCUGAAUCAGCUUGUGUGUUAGUGGAACGGUCUGGAAAGUCCGACGGUACAGGGUGAUAGUCCCGUACACCAAAAUGCACAGGUUGUGAACUCGAAGAGUAGGGCGGGACACGUGGUAUCCUGUCUGAAUAUGGGGGGACCAUCCUCCAAGGCUAAAUACUCCUGACUGACCGAUAGUGAACCAGUACCGUGAGGGAAAGGCGAAAAGAACCCCGGCGAGGGGAGUGAAAAAGAACCUGAAACCGUGUACGUACAAGCAGUGGGAGCACCUUCGGGUGUGACUGCGUACCUUUUGUAUAAUGGGUCAGCGACUUAUAUUCUGUAGCAAGGUUAACCGUAUAGGGGAGCCGCAGGGAAACCGAGUCUUAACUGGGCGUUAAGUUGCAGGGUAUAGACCCGAAACCCGGUGAUCUAGCCAUGGGCAGGUUGAAGGUUGGGUAACACUAACUGGAGGACCGAACCGACUAAUGUUGAAAAAUUAGCGGAUGACUUGUGGCUGGGGGUGAAAGGCCAAUCAAACCGGGAGAUAGCUGGUUCUCCCCGAAAGCUAUUUAGGUAGCGCCUCGUGAACUCAUCUUCGGGGGUAGAGCACUGUUUCGGCUAGGGGGUCAUCCCGACUUACCAACCCGAUGCAAACUACGAAUACCGAAGAAUGUUAUCACGGGAGACACACGGCGGGUGCUAACGUCCGUCGUGAAGAGGGAAACAACCCAGACCGCCAGCUAAGGUCCCAAAGUCAUGGUUAAGUGGGAAACGAUGUGGGAAGGCACAGACAGCCAGGAUGUUGGCUUAGAAGCAGCCAUCAUUUAAAGAAAGCGUAAUAGCUCACUGGUCGAGUCGGCCUGCGCGGAAGAUGUAACGGGGCUAAACCAUGCACCGAAGCUGCGGCAGCGACACUAUGUGUUGUUGGGUAGGGGAGCGUUCUGUAAGCCUGCGAAGGUGUGCUGUGAGGCAUGCUGGAGGUAUCAGAAGUGCGAAUGCUGACAUAAGUAACGAUAAAGCGGGUGAAAAGCCCGCUCGCCGGAAGACCAAGGGUUCCUGUCCAACGUUAAUCGGGGCAGGGUGAGUCGACCCCUAAGGCGAGGCCGAAAGGCGUAGUCGAUGGGAAACAGGUUAAUAUUCCUGUACUUGGUGUUACUGCGAAGGGGGGACGGAGAAGGCUAUGUUAGCCGGGCGACGGUUGUCCCGGUUUAAGCAUGUAGGCUGGUUAUCCAGGCAAAUCCGGAUAAUCAAGGCUGAGGUGUGAUGACGAGGCACUACGGUGCUGAAGUAACAAAUGCCCUGCUUCCAGGAAAAGCCUCUAAGCAUCAGGUAACAUCAAAUCGUACCCCAAACCGACACAGGUGGUCAGGUAGAGAAUACCAAGGCGCUUGAGAGAACUCGGGUGAAGGAACUAGGCAAAAUGGUGCCGUAACUUCGGGAGAAGGCACGCUGGUGUGUAGGUGAAGUCCCUGCGGAUGGAGCUGAGACCAGUCGAAGAUACCAGCUGGCUGCAACUGUUUAUUAAAAACACAGCACUGUGCAAACACGAAAGUGGACGUAUACGGUGUGACGCCUGCCCGGUGCCGGAAGGUUAAUUGAUGGGGUUAUCCGUAAGGAGAAGCUCUUGAUCGAAGCCCCGGUAAACGGCGGCCGUAACUAUAACGGUCCUAAGGUAGCGAAAUUCCUUGUCGGGUAAGUUCCGACCUGCACGAAUGGCGUAAUGAUGGCCAGGCUGUCUCCACCCGAGACUCAGUGAAAUUGAACUCGCUGUGAAGAUGCAGUGUACCCGCGGCAAGACGGAAAGACCCCGUGAACCUUUACUAUAGCUUGACACUGAACAUUGAGCCUUGAUGUGUAGGAUAGGUGGGAGGCUUUGAAGCGUGGACGCCAGUCUGCGUGGAGCCAACCUUGAAAUACCACCCUUUAAUGUUUGAUGUUCUAACGUUGGCCCCUGACCGGGGUUGCGGACAGUGUCUGGUGGGUAGUUUGACUGGGGCGGUCUCCUCCCAAAGCGUAACGGAGGAGCACGAAGGUUAGCUAAUCCUGGUCGGACAUCAGGAGGUUAGUGCAAUGGCAUAAGCUAGCUUGACUGCGAGCGUGACGGCGCGAGCAGGUGCGAAAGCAGGUCAUAGUGAUCCGGUGGUUCUGAAUGGAAGGGCCAUCGCUCAACGGAUAAAAGGUACUCCGGGGAUAACAGGCUGAUACCGCCCAAGAGUUCAUAUCGACGGCGGUGUUUGGCACCUCGAUGUCGGCUCAUCACAUCCUGGGGCUGAAGUAGGUCCCAAGGGUAUGGCUGUUCGCCAUUUAAAGUGGUACGCGAGCUGGGUUAGAACGUCGUGAGACAGUUCGGUCCCUAUCUGCCGUGGGCGCUGGAGAAUUGAGGGGGGCUGCUCCUAGUACGAGAGGACCGGAGUGGACGCAUCACUGGUGUUCGGGUUGUCAUGCCAAUGGCACUGCCCGGUAGCUAAAUGCGGAAGAGAUAAGUGCUGAAAGCAUCUAAGCACGAAACUUGCCCCGAGAUGAGUUCUCCCUGAGACUAUAAGUCUCCUGAAGGAACGUUAAAGACGAUGACGUUGAUAGGCCGGGUGUGUAAGCGCAGCGAUGCGUUGAGCUAACCGGUACUAAUGAACCGUGAGGCUUAACCUU
Molecule: ribosomal RNA, 2901 nt
Filed under: Klebsiella pneumoniae
Lineage: Bacteria; Pseudomonadati; Pseudomonadota; Gammaproteobacteria; Enterobacterales; Enterobacteriaceae
Description: 23S ribosomal RNA
Rfam family: Bacterial large subunit ribosomal RNA
Source: RNAcentral